ACCUCUGUAGCUCAAGGGAUAGAGCGCCAGUUUACGAAGCUGUGGAUGGGAGUUCGAAUCUCUUCAGGGGUACCA
This 75-nucleotide transfer RNA is filed under the name Mycobacterium sp. AZCC_0083. RNAcentral's name for it is "tRNA-Arg". It matches the Rfam family "tRNA". From Rfam's summary of the family: Transfer RNA (tRNA) molecules are approximately 80 nucleotides in length. Their secondary structure includes four short double-helical elements and three loops (D, anti-codon, and T loops). Further hydrogen bonds mediate the characteristic L-shaped molecular structure. tRNAs have two regions of fundamental functional importance: the anti-codon, which is responsible for specific mRNA codon recognition, and the 3' end, to which the tRNAs corresponding amino acid is attached (by aminoacyl-tRNA synthetases). tRNAs cope with the degeneracy of the genetic code in two manners: having more than one tRNA (with a specific anti-codon) for a particular amino acid; and 'wobble' base-pairing, i.e. permitting non-standard base-pairing at the 3rd anti-codon position. The record is from RNAcentral. Lineage: Bacteria; Bacillati; Actinomycetota; Actinomycetes; Mycobacteriales; Mycobacteriaceae.